RNAcentral lists this long non-coding RNA (274 nucleotides) under Trifolium pratense (red clover). RNAcentral's name for it is "long non-coding RNA (TPRA_LNC007961)". The record is from RNAcentral. Lineage: Eukaryota; Viridiplantae; Streptophyta; Magnoliopsida; Fabales; Fabaceae.
GGAAGACCCAUGCAUCAAUCAAGAUCUCUAUCUAUAAUAUAACAUACCUCAGGUUGGAUUCAACCACUUAGGAUGAUGAUCUGCAAAACCAAACCCCAUGACUUUAUGCUCUGCCAGUCUUCCCCUCUUCUAGCUAUUCGCAUGCGUCGAUCAAUCAUCUUCGGCAAAAUGACCAGAUAAAUUAUGCACCAAGGAUCCAUUAGAUUAAACUAAGUGCAUGAUAGACCGAUUCUUAUAUCCUUUGAAUGUGACCACUGGUUAGAUUAUGAUUAUG